RNAcentral lists this non-coding RNA (25 nucleotides) under Rattus norvegicus (Norway rat). The record is from RNAcentral. Lineage: Eukaryota; Metazoa; Chordata; Mammalia; Rodentia; Muridae.
AAAUUACUCAUGGCCAUAAAAAUAA